Molecule: transfer RNA, 72 nt
Filed under: Phrynosoma platyrhinos (Desert horned lizard)
Lineage: Eukaryota; Metazoa; Chordata; Lepidosauria; Squamata; Phrynosomatidae
Description: tRNA-OTHER
Source: RNAcentral
GCCAGCAUGGCAUAGUGGUUUGAGUAUCGGACUAUGACUCUGGAGACCAAGGUUCAAUUCCCCGCUCCACCG